UGCUAAUUUCCCAGGGUGAAAAUUUACAAGCCUGUGAGUGCAGUCAGCACAAUCGCAUGCAUAUGCCCCUCACAGACGCUGGGGACCCGCGCACAGACUGUGACCUCGGCGAGGAGUCGACUCGGGAAAGACCCUACCUCCUGGACCUGUCCAAAAGAACCCCUGCGAAAGAGCUCCUAGGAAAAGGAUGAAAACUUUAAGGAACAAUGAAGGAGAGAGGUAGUGCUCUGAAACGGUGAGAAGAAAAAAAUUACACAGCACACCUGGGACAGAUGAAGCCAAACUAGUGCUUUUAUAAUGCCAAUCAGCAGGGCUGUUAUCAUCCCUCUAAUUAGGAAAGCAGCCUAAAACAGAGAGCACUUGGGGAAAUGGUAAUGUUAUGGUUUUGCACUUAAAAGGAGAGACAUUUCCUGCACUGUAAGAAUCUAGGAUUGGGGCUGACAAGUCCUUUAAUUAAUGGGCAGGAUUCCCUGUGUGUGCAAGUGUGUGUGCAUGUUUUAAUUCAUAAAAGUGGACAAAGGGUGCCAGAGGAGGGGGUAGAGACUGAUGGGGGAAGGAGGGUGAAUCCUUAGUUUGAAGAUGAACAGAGUUCAUAGCUACAUUCAUCCCUUUCUUUUUCUUUUUCAACCUCCAAAGGACUAAGGUGAAGAUGGGAAUAAGCUGUUUUUAUAGGAAUUUGAAUGUUAUAUUGAAUAAAAGCCCUAGGCCAGCGGGCCAACUCCAAGUUUGAGGGAACUCACAUUUCAAGUUGGCAAAGCCUUGUGGCCCCAAUUCACUGUCUUGAGUCCAUAUUUUACCCAGUUCAUCUGGACUUUAGUGUGGACUAUUUUCCCACUCAAAAGUGACCAGGAUUCUCUUUCGUUUUCCAGGAUUGAAAAAAUAUGUAGCUUAAAUAAUUCCAGGAACAAGAUUACUCUUACUGUUUAAAAAAAUGUGGCCUAGUGGCUUAAGAAAAAGAGUUAAUAUUGUCUUUUUGAGGGUUUUGAAAUUGAACACUUUGAACCUAGCAGCAUCGGGUUCUCAAUACUAUUUUAAAUGGCUUUUUAAUGCCUAGAAAAAAAAAGUCUCCAAUGACUCUGAGAGAUAUUUCUCAAUUUCUUCUUCCCCUCUCUCUGAGAUUAUUCACAAAUAUGCAUAUUCCCAUAUAUGUGCAUAUAUAAAUUCAUAGGGAGGGGACUGUUUAAUGGGGCAAUUGAUCUAAGAUUUGGUAAGAUCUUGUCUGAUUUAUAAUCUUUCCCCCUAAAUAAAUCCAAAAUGCUCUAUUGCUACAUCAGAUAUACCAGAGCAUUGCCUAAAAAUAACUAUUGCCACUUACAAGAACAUACUAAAGCGAUGCUGAUUUUUACAAAAGUCGUCACAAUUGAUUAAACAAAUUUAUCUUACAUCAAACUAGUGCUUGACUUAUGAAUCUCAGUAUGUAAAACAAACCAGGUUCUUACAAAGAACAUAGCCUAGUCAUUCAAUAUUUUGUCAUAGUAUGGAUGUCUUUUAGAGGAAAAUAUAGCCUCUGCUUUCAAAAUAUCACUGAAUUUAGAACCCUAAAUGUAGCCUUAUAUGAGUAGAGGAGUUUACAAUAGUGUUUUUUUAAAAGAACUUUAACAUUUUGUGAAAAAAUUGAAAGAAAGAAUAAUCCUUAAAGAAAUGAAUGGUGUUAGCACUUCCCUUCUACAGUUGAAAUGGCAAAACAGUUUCCUAAUUCCAAGGGAGCAGAAAGUGAACCCACAUAGUAUAAUUUUCAAUAUCUCAAUGAGAUGAAAGAAUAAACCAAGAGGAGGUCCCAAGAUUAUUUUUAGAGUUUAUUAGAGAUCACUUUCAGUGGAAUUUAAACCACAAUAAAUAUCAUGUUUUUUGUACUUAUUGGAAAGAAAAUUUUCAUCACUUUAAAAGAAAACUAUUUCCCAAACAAAUUAGUAUGCUUCAUUCUUGUGUUCCUCCAAGAGGUGGGAAAAAUACGUAAUAUUUUCAAUGUCCUCAUACAAUUUACUUUAACUCUUAAAU
RNAcentral lists this long non-coding RNA (1998 nucleotides) under Heterocephalus glaber (naked mole-rat). Its description in RNAcentral is "lncRNA (ENSHGLG00100042981.1)". Lineage: Eukaryota; Metazoa; Chordata; Mammalia; Rodentia; Bathyergidae. The record is from RNAcentral.